Long non-coding RNA from Eriocheir sinensis (Chinese mitten crab), 2378 nucleotides. RefSeq lists it as uncharacterized. Lineage: Eukaryota; Metazoa; Arthropoda; Malacostraca; Decapoda; Varunidae. The record is from RefSeq and is a predicted model, not a curated record. The transcript is spliced from 2 exons.
AGGAAUCUCAUGGCUUCCCGAACCUUUUAAUUUCUUGCGUGCCUCCCCGCCGGGAGUGUCUUCCGCACCUCCAGGCACGAACAGAGUCACCACGGCACCAACAACAUAUGUAGCCCCGACACCCGCCACCGUCACCCACACGACCACAUCCUUCCCCUCUAGAGUUACCAACACUGCGCCAUUAACUUCAUCUCUUUCGUCUUCGUUCCUCUCAAGUUAUUUCUUUUCCAUCUUCUCAACCACUACGCCUACGCCUUUCACUCAACACACGGAGUCAUCCCUUGAAGCAGCGACCACCCCACAACGAUUAUCGAACUCGACACCAAGGAAUUCCUAUCUCUCGAAGAAACACUUUAAAUCUCAAGCGCCUUCUCCGUCAUCUACACCACCACUGACGCGAGUAACAUCAACACUCAAAACAACAACCCCAGCACCCUCCUCAUCUACGUCAUCUCGCUUACGUGCCAGAUAUCCGCCUCAGGCCAAGCCCACUUCCGCCGCAUCUUCAUUUCCCUUAAUUAAAAAACAUUCUUCAGCGCUCAAAUCAUUCGCUCUCCCCUCCACGCCUUCCACGUCUUCCCAGUCAUUUGCAUUCCCCUCGCCGCCCUCAUACCCGUCCGUCAAGUCACGCGCGCCCUCUUCAUCUAAGGCUUCCCCUCCGCCUCGCUCCUUAGCACCGCCUUCUACAACAUUUCCGUCAAAGCACGCUGUAAAAUAUGCAAAAUUCACACCUACAUCAUCACCGGUUAAGUCCGUCAAGAUACUUACGCCACCUUCCACAGAAUCUAGUUCGUUGCGUCCUAUCAGACCGCUACGGACGACUUCAUUUCCGAGCGUUAACCUUCCUAAACCACCUUUCCAAACCACCUCGGGGACCAACCGUAUCGGGCAAUCCGCAGUGAGUCCGCCCACCUCUUCUGUGUCAAGCACCGCGCGUCCCAUCCUUCCUAAAUAUCUUCGCAGGCCCACCACUGCCUCACCCCGACCGCCCUUAAAGAAACACAAUGUCCCCUCACGCUCUCCUCGGCCUCUCUCAUCUAAAGAUAAUUUCUCUCGACGAACACCGCAAGCUUCUCGAGGUGGCCUAUCCAGUAGUCCUUCUUCCCGCCUCUUAGCCAGAACGAGAGGUCUCUCCACACAAUCAUCUUUCCCGUCCUUCAAACACACGGCGGCGUCCCCACCCCCAAACACGCCGCCCACCAAGCCAAAGCAUACAGCUGUAGGGACUAAUCCAAAGACCUUUUCCAGCAUUUCAGCCCGGGUACUCCAGUCCCUCCCGAGCAGGAAGCAAGGCAAAGUGACACGAGAUAGAGAUAAUGACAAAAAGAGAGUAGGGGACAGGUUAGAUGGAGAAAUAGUAGGGACAGGAGGAAUAAUAGUAAAGGGAGAAGAAAGAGGAAGUGGAGGUAAAGGUAGGGGGGGUAAGGGAGGAAGUGAAGAGGGUAGAAGGGAAGGUAAGGCUGUGAGGAGAACACUUGGGGAGAUAAUGUUAGAAAGAAAAUUACAGCUGGCAAGACUGAAGGGCGGGGGAAAGGGGGCAGGGAGUGCAGGCCCAGGUAGUAGACCAGGAAGGUUACAGGAAAAGAACCAACCAGACAGAGGGAACAGAGUGGUAGCUGACGGUCAGCGUGGAGACCUCCCUGCCCCUAGGACGACGCCCCAGCCAGACGGCAGAACACGACACCGUGACGGCCGCACACACGACAACGACGACGAUGACGACGACGACAACGUUUCUGUGCCUAAGCACGGCAGCCCAACACGAAUGAGGAUAAGCUCAGUCGUCCCUCGCACCAGCUUCAGUUGUCCUGACGAGGCCAAAGGCGAAUACUUUGCUGACCGCGAAACUGGAUGUCAGGUGUUCCAUGUGUGCUGGGGAAAGAGGAGGGCGGCUUUCCUCUGUCCCGAGGGCACGCUCUUCAAUCAGCUGGUGCAGGUGUGUGACUGGUGGUACAACGUCGAUUGUGAUGCUGCGUCCGAGGAUGGAAAAAAGCGCCAAUCAGCUGCGGACAAAUGAGAGCCACGUUUCCCGCUGCAGCAACGCUCCUUUUGUGCCUGCCGACGCCGCCGCUUCAGGACACUAAUUCAGGAACGUCUCAUUCCCUCGCUCACGUGUUGAACGCUCAUGCCAGUGUUUCCUCUCACCAGGCUCGUUACAGCCAUUCUUAUUGUGUUCGGGUCAGUGAAUCAUAGCGGCCAAGAUCUGCCCGCCUGCGCGCCGCGACGGUCUCCGUGACUGGGGGCGAGGAGCGGCGCCACGUCCCGACCUUAGCCCCGACCACCCCUGCCCGGCACCCUCGCGGCGAAACUCGUGCUUCUGAGGCGCCAUACGGAUACCUGUGAUGUCAUUAUAGAUAUUCAUAAACAUUUCAAUAUGC